This 253-nucleotide ribosomal RNA is filed under the name uncultured bacterium. RNAcentral describes it as "partial 16S ribosomal RNA". It matches the Rfam family "Bacterial small subunit ribosomal RNA", at positions 524 to 776 of the family's 1533-position model. The record is from RNAcentral.
GACGGGGGGGGCAAGUGUUCUUCGGAAUCACUGGGCGUAAAGGGCGCGUAGGCGGCUUUAUAAGUCGGGGGUGAAAGCCUGUGGCUCAACCACAGAAUUGCCUUCGAUACUGUAGAGCUUGAGACCGGAAGAGGUAAGUGGAACUGCGAGUGUAGAGGUGAAAUUCGUAGAUAUUCGCAAGAACACCAGUGGCGAAGGCGGCUUACUGGUCCGGUUCUGACGCUGAGGCGCGAAAGCGUGGGGAGCAAACAGG